GACGAACGCUGGCGGCGUGCUUAACACAUGCAAGUCGUACGGUAAGGCCCUUUCGGGGGUACACGAGUGGCGAACGGGUGAGUAACACGUGAGUAACCUGCCCACAACUUUGGGAUAACGCUAGGAAACUGGUGCUAAUACUGGAUAUGUGCUCCUGCUGCAUGGUGGGGGUUGGAAAGCUCCGGCGGUUGUGGAUGGACUCGCGGCCUAUCAGCUUGUUGGUGGGGUAGUGGCCUACCAAGGCGGCGACGGGUAGCCGGCCUGAGAGGGUGACCGGCCACAUUGGGACUGAGAGACGGCCCAGACCCCUACGGGAGGCAGCAGGGGGGAAGAUUGCACAAUGGGCGCAAGCCUGAUGCAGCAACGCCGCGGGCGGGAUGACGGCCUUCGGGUUGUAAACCGCUUUCAGCAGGGACGAAGCUUUUUGUGACGGUACCUGCAGAAGAAGCACCGGCUAACUACGUG
Molecule: ribosomal RNA, 465 nt
Filed under: uncultured bacterium
Lineage: Bacteria
Description: partial 16S ribosomal RNA
Rfam family: Bacterial small subunit ribosomal RNA
Source: RNAcentral